This 251-nucleotide ribosomal RNA is filed under the name uncultured bacterium. RNAcentral describes it as "partial 16S ribosomal RNA". It matches the Rfam family "Bacterial small subunit ribosomal RNA", at positions 524 to 774 of the family's 1533-position model. The record is from RNAcentral.
UACGUAGGGUGCAAGCGUUAUCCGGAUUUAUUGGGCGUAAAGGGCUCGUAGGCGGUUCGUCGCGUCCGGUGUGAAAGUCCAUCGCUUAACGGUGGAUCCGCGCCGGGUACGGGCGGGCUUGAGUGCGGUAGGGGAGACUGGAAUUCCCGGUGUAACGGUGGAAUGUGUAGAUAUCGGGAAGAACACCAAUGGCGAAGGCAGGUCUCUGGGCCGUUACUGACGCUGAGGAGCGAAAGCGUGGGGAGCGAACA